Molecule: ribosomal RNA, 497 nt
Filed under: uncultured bacterium
Lineage: Bacteria
Description: partial 16S ribosomal RNA
Rfam family: Bacterial small subunit ribosomal RNA
Source: RNAcentral
GAUGAACGCUGGCGGCGUGCCUAAUACAUGCAAGUCGAGCGAACAGACGAGGAGCUUGCUCCUCUGACGUUAGCGGCGGACGGGUGAGUAACACGUGGAUAACCUACCUAUAAGACUGGGAUAACUUCGGGAAACCGGAGCUAAUACCGGAUAAUAUAUUGAACCGCAUGGUUCAAUAGUGAAAGACGGUUUUGCUGUCACUUAUAGAUGGAUCCGCGCCGCAUUAGCUAGUUGGUAAGGUAACGGCUUACCAAGGCAACGAUGCGUAGCCGACCUGAGAGGGGUGUGAGCCAACAGGGAACCGGAGCACGGACCAAGACACCACGGGGAGGAGCAGGAGGGAAUCCUCCGGAAAGGGCGGAAGGCCGAACGAGCAACGCCGGGGGGGGGAAGGAGGGUCUGGGAACGGAAAACCUUUUUAUUAGGGAAAAAAAAAUGGGGAAAUAACUAGGCCCGGCCUGGAGGGAACUAAUAAAAAAACCCACGCCAAACUACGU